CAGCCGCCGCGGUAAUACGUAGGGUGCGAGCGUUAAUCGGAAUUACUGGGCGUAAAGCGUGCGCAGGCGGCCAUGCAAGACAGAUGUGAAAUCCCCGGGCUCAACCUGGGAACUGCAUUUGUGACUGCAUGGCUAGAGUACGGUAGAGGGGGAUGGAAUUCCGCGUGUAGCAGUGAAAUGCGUAGAUAUGUGGAAGAAUACCGAUGGCGAAGGCAGCCCCCUGGGAUAACACUGACGCUCAUGCACGAAAGCGUGGGGAGCAAACAGGAUUAGAUACCCCCGUAGUCCCUGUCUCUUAUAC
Molecule: ribosomal RNA, 301 nt
Filed under: uncultured bacterium
Lineage: Bacteria
Description: partial 16S ribosomal RNA
Rfam family: Bacterial small subunit ribosomal RNA
Source: RNAcentral